CCAGCCCGCUCAGAAACUCAAAGGAAUUGACGGGGCCGCACAAGCGGUGAGCAUGUGGUUUAAUUCGAUGAUACGCGAGGAACCUUACCUGGGCUCAAAUGUAUGUUGACGUAUUCUGAAAGGGAUACUUCUUCGGACAAUAUACAAGGUGCUGCAUGGUUGUCGUCAGCUCGUGCCGUGAGGUGUCGGGUUAAGUCCCAUAACGAGCGCAACCCCUAUCAUUAGUUGCCAUCAGGUCAAGCUGGGGACUCUAAUGAAACUGCCUACGCAAGUAGUGAGGAAGGUGGGGAUGACGUCAAAUCAGCACGGCCCUUACGUCCAGGGCUACACACGUGCUACAAUGGCCGGUACAAAGGGCAGCGACACUGCGAGGUGAAGCCAAUCCCGUAAAAUCGGUCUCAGUCCGGAUUGGAGUCUGCAACUCGACUCCAUGAAGUUGGAAUCGCUAGUAAUCGUGGAUCAGCAUGCCACGGUGAAUACGUUCCCGGGCCUU
Molecule: ribosomal RNA, 493 nt
Filed under: uncultured Sphingobacteriales bacterium
Lineage: Bacteria; Pseudomonadati; Bacteroidota; Sphingobacteriia; Sphingobacteriales
Description: bacterial SSU rRNA
Rfam family: Bacterial small subunit ribosomal RNA
Source: RNAcentral